CAGCAGCCGCGGGAAUACGAAGGGUGCAAGCGUUAAUCGGAAUUACUGGGCGUAAAGCGUGCGUAGGCGGUGAGUUAAGUCUGCUGUGAAAUCCCCGGGUUCAACCUGGGAAUGGCAGUGGAUACUGGCUCGCUAGAGUGUGUCAGAGGAUGGUGGAAUUCCCGGUGUAGCGGUGAAAUGCGUAGAGAUCGGGAGGAACAUCAGUGGCGAAGGCGGCCAUCUGGGACAACACUGACGCUGAGGCACGAAAGCGUGGGGAGCAAACAGGAUUAGAUACCCGCGUAGUCCCUGUCUCUUAUAC
Molecule: ribosomal RNA, 301 nt
Filed under: uncultured bacterium
Lineage: Bacteria
Description: partial 16S ribosomal RNA
Rfam family: Bacterial small subunit ribosomal RNA
Source: RNAcentral